AAGUUGUGUAGUGCGAUCGGUGGAUGCCUUGGCACCAAGAGCCGAUGAAGGACGUUGUGACCUGCGAUAAGCCCUGGGGAGUUGGUGAGCGAGCUGUGAUCCGGGGGUGUCCGAAUGGGGAAACCUGGAAUGUCCGGAGUAGUGUCCGGUGGCCCUGCCCUGAAUGUAUAGGGGUGUGGGUGGUAACGCGGGGAAGUGAAACAUCUUAGUACCCGUAGGAAGAGAAAACAAGUGUGAUUCCGUGAGUAGUGGCGAGCGAAAGCGGAGGAGGCUAAACCGUGUGUGUGUUCAAGCCGGCAGGUGUUGCAUGUGCGGGGUUGUGGGGGCCUUGUGGUUCUGCUGCCGCAGGAUUGGCCAGUGAGAAAUGUUGCGUGAAGGUGAAGCGUCUGGGAAGGCGUACCGGAGUGGGUGAGAGUCCUGUAACUGUAAGCGUGGCACUGGUGUGGGGUUGCCCCGAGUAGCGUGGGACUCGUGGAAUUUCGCGUGAAUCUGGCGGGACCACCCGUCAAGCCUAAAUACUCCUUGGUGACCGAUAGUGGAUGAGUACCGUGAGGGAAGGGUGAAAAGUACCCCGGGAGGGGAGUGAAAGAGUUCCUGAAACCGGUCGCAUGCAAGCCGUCAGAGCCUGUGUGGUGAUGGCGUGCCUUUUGAAGAAUGAGCCUGCGAGUUAGUGAUGCGUGGCGAGGUUAACCCGUGGUGGGGGAGUCGUAGCGAAAGCGAGUCCGAUAAGGGCGUGAGUCGCGUGUUCUAGACCCGAAGCGGUGUGAUCUAUCCAUGGCCAGGAUGAAGCGUCGGUAAGACGUCGUGGAGGUCCGAACCCACUUCAGUUAAAAAUGGAGGGGAUGAGUUGUGGAUAGGGGUGAAAGGCCAAUCAAACACCGUGAUAGCUGGUUCUCCCCGAAAUGCAUUUAGGUGCAGCGUUGCGUGGUUCUUGUUGGAGGUAGAGCACUGGAUGGUCUAGGGGGCUUAUCGGCUUACCGAAAUCAGCCAAACUCCGAAUGCUGGCAAGCGUAGCGUGGCAGUGAGACGGCGGGGGAUAAGCUUCGUCGUCGAGAGGGAAACAGCCCAGAUCAUCAGCUAAGGCCCCUAAGUGGUGACUCAGUGGGAAAGGAUGUGGAGUUGCGUAGACAACCAGGAGGUUGGCUUGGAAGCAGCCAUCCUUGAAAGAGUGCGUAAUAGCUCACUGGUCAAGUGAUUCCGCGCCGAUAAUGUAGCGGGGCUUAAGUUAUCCGCCGAAGCUGUGGCAACCUGUGUGGUUGGGUAGGGGAGCGUCGUGUCAGUGGUGAAGCUGCCGGGUGACUGUGUGGUGGAGUUGAUGCGAGUGAGAAUGCAGGCAUGAGUAGCGUGUGACGGGUGGGAAUCCCGUCCGCCGAUUAUCCAAGGGUUCCAGGGUCAAGUUUGUCUGCCCUGGGUGAGUCGGGUCCUAAGGCGAGGCCGACAGGCGUAGUCGAUGGGUAACCAGUUGAUAUUCUGGUACCGGCUUGUCACCGUCCGUGUCGAGGUGUGUGAUGCUAAGCAUGUGAGCUUGUCUUGGGAGUGUUUUUGAUGCUUCUGGGGUGGGUGAGUGUGUGAACCGAUCAUGUAGUAGGCAAGCUGCGGAGGGACGCAGUGAGGUAGCUCAUCCCCGGUGAUGGUUGUCCGGGGCUAAGUGUGUGGACUGUCUGGUAGGUAAAUCCGCUGGGCGUGAAGGUUGAGGCAUGAUGGGGAGCCCACGGUUGUGGGUGAGUGAGUGAUCCUGUACUGUCGAGAAAAGCUUCGUGAGCGAGGUGGCGGGUCCGCCCGUACCCUAAACCGACACUGGUGGAUAGGUAGAGUAUACCGAGGCGAUCGAGUGAAUCGUGGUGAAGGAACUCGGCAAAAUGCCCCCGUAACUUUGGGAUAAGGGGGACCUGAGCUGUCGUGCACCCGUGCGGUGUGGUGGCGGUGAGGGGCGCAGAGUCCAGGGGGAAACGACUGUUUACCAAAAACACAGGUCCGUGCGAAGUCGUAAGACGAUGUAUACGGACUGACUCCUGCCCGGUGCUGGAAGGUUAAGGGGAACUGUGAGUGUGAUGCGUAGCGGUGAACUUAAGCCCCAGUAAACGGCGGUGGUAACUAUAACCAUCCUAAGGUAGCGAAAUUCCUUGUCGGGUAAGUUCC
Molecule: ribosomal RNA, 2139 nt
Filed under: Thalassiosira rotula
Lineage: Eukaryota; Bacillariophyta; Thalassiosirophyceae; Thalassiosirales; Thalassiosiraceae
Description: partial Bacterial large subunit ribosomal RNA
Rfam family: Bacterial large subunit ribosomal RNA
Source: RNAcentral